Molecule: ribosomal RNA, 711 nt
Filed under: Niallia nealsonii
Lineage: Bacteria; Bacillati; Bacillota; Bacilli; Caryophanales; Bacillaceae
Description: bacterial SSU rRNA
Rfam family: Bacterial small subunit ribosomal RNA
Source: RNAcentral
GCAGUCGAGCGGACUUAAAAAGCUUGCUUUUUAAGUUAGCGGCGGACGGGUGAGUAACACGUGGGCAACCUGCCUGUAAGACUGGGAUAACUUCGGGAAACCGGAGCUAAUACCGGAUAAUCCUUUCCUACUCAUGUAGGAAAGCUGAAAGACGGUUUACGCUGUCACUUACAGAUGGGCCCGCGGCGCAUUAGCUAGUUGGUGAGGUAACGGCUCACCAAGGCGACGAUGCGUAGCCGACCUGAGAGGGUGAUCGGCCACACUGGGACUGAGACACGGCCCAGACUCCUACGGGAGGCAGCAGUAGGGAAUCUUCCGCAAUGGACGAAAGUCUGACGGAGCAACGCCGCGUGAGUGAUGAAGGUUUUCGGAUCGUAAAACUCUGUUGUUAGGGAAGAACAAGUACGAGAGUAACUGCUCGUACCUUGACGGUACCUAACCAGAAAGCCACGGCUAACUACGUGCCAGCAGCCGCGGUAAUACGUAGGUGGCAAGCGUUGUCCGGAAUUAUUGGGCGUAAAGCGCGCGCAGGCGGUCCUUUAAGUCUGAUGUGAAAGCCCACGGCUCAACCGUGGAGGGUCAUUGGAAACUGGGGGACUUGAGUGCAGAAGAGAAGAGUGGAAUUCCACGUGUAGCGGUGAAAUGCGUAGAGAUGUGGAGGAACACCAGUGGCGAAGGCGACUCUUUGGUCUGUAACUGACGCUGAGGCGC